Arachis ipaensis is the source of this 459-nucleotide non-coding RNA. Lineage: Eukaryota; Viridiplantae; Streptophyta; Magnoliopsida; Fabales; Fabaceae. The record is from RefSeq and is a predicted model, not a curated record.
CUCGUGGAUUAGAUGCUAUCGACCUCAAUGAUGAUGAUAUUGAAGAUCGGAGGCAAGAUAGUAUUCAACACUGGCAUUGAAAGAGGAUGAAAUGCUGAUCAGUGCAUGGUUAUAUAUUUCAACUGACCCUAUAGUUGGUACCGAUCAAAAGGGGGAAACAUUUUGGAGUCGAAUUCAUAGCUACUGUGUAGAAUUUUGCUCCGACAUGACAAGGGGGUUGUUGCAUGUAAGAAACGAUGGUAUAAGAUCAAUAAGGCUGUUGCACAAUUUGCUGGUUGCUACGAUCAAGCUAGUCGAAAUAUAAGGAGUGGUUCAAACGCUGAUGAUAUAAAGGAGUUGGCCUAUAAACUUUAUUCCACAAAUUAUGGAAAGGGAAAGGGAAAUGGAUAUGCAAAUACUUAAUGCUGACACGUCUACAAUGAGUGAAAAAUGACGAGCUCUUCAUGAGAUUGCAUGUGA